CAGGUUAAUAUUCCUGUACUUGGUGUUACUGCGAAGGGGGGACGGAGAAGGCUAUGUUGGCCGGGCGACGGUUGUCCCGGUUUAAGCGUGUAGGCUGGUUUUCCAGGCAAAUCCGGAAAAUCAAGGCUGAGGCGUGAUGACGAGGCACUACGGUGCUGAAGCAACAAAUGCCCUGCUUCCAGGAAAAGCCUCUAAGCAUCAGGUAACAUCAAAUCGUACCCCAAACCGACACAGGUGGUCAGGUAGAGAAUACCAAGGCGCUUGAGAGAACUCGGGUGAAGGAACUAGGCAAAAUGGUGCCGUAACUUCGGGAGAAGGCACGCUGAUAUGUAGGUGAAGUCCCUUGCGGAUGGAGCUGAAAUCAGUCGAAGAUACCAGCUGGCUGCAACUGUUUAUUAAAAACACAGCACUGUGCAAACACGAAAGUGGACGUAUACGGUGUGACGCCUGCCCGGUGCCGGAAGGUUAAUUGAUGGGGUCAGCGCAAGCGAAGCUCUUGAUCGAAGCCCCGGUAAACGGCGGCCGUAACUAUAACGGUCCUAAGGUAGCGAAAUUCCUUGUCGGGUAAGUUCCGACCUGCACGAAUGGCGUAAUGAUGGCCAGGCUGUCUCCACCCGAGACUCAGUGAAAUUGAACUCGCUGUGAAGAUGCAGUGUACCCGCGGCAAGACGGAAAGACCCCGUGAACCUUUACUAUAGCUUGACACUGAACAUUGAGCCUUGAUGUGUAGGAUAGGUGGGAGGCUUUGAAGUGUGGACGCCAGUCUGCAUGGAGCCGGCCUUGAAAUACCACCCUUUAAUGUUUGAUGUUCUAACGUGGACCCGUGAUCCGGGUUGCGGACAGUGUCUGGUGGGUAGUUUGACUGGGGCGGUCUCCUCCUAAAGAGUAACGGAGGAGCACGAAGGUUGGCUAAUCCUGGUCGGACAUCAGGAGGUUAGUGCAAUGGCAUAAGCCAGCUUGACUGCGAGCGUGACGGCGCGAGCAGGUGCGAAAGCAGGUCAUAGUGAUCCGGUGGUUCUGAAUGGAAGGGCCAUCGCUCAACGGAUAAAAGGUACUCCGGGGAUAACAGGCUGAUACCGCCCAAGAGUUCAUAUCGACGGCGGUGUUUGGCACCUCGAUGUCGGCUCAUCACAUCCUGGGGCUGAAGUAGGUCCCAAGGGUAUGGCUGUUCGCCAUUUAAAGUGGUACGCGAGCUGGGUUUAGAACGUCGUGAGACAGUUCGGUCCCUAUCUGCCGUGGGCGCUGGAGAACUGAGGGGGGCUGCUCCUAGUACGAGAGGACCGGAGUGGACGCAUCACUGGUGUUCGGGUUGUCAUGCCAAUGGCACUGCCCGGUAGCUAAAUGCGGAAGAGAUAAGUGCUGAAAGCAUCUAAGCACGAAACUUGCCCCGAGAUGAGUUCUCCCUGACCCUUUAAGGGUCCUGAAGGAACGUUGAAGACGACGACGUUGAUAGGCCGGGUGUGUAAGCGCAGCGAUGCGUUGAGCUAACCGGUACUAAUGAACCGUGAGGCUUAACCUUACAACGCCGAAG
Molecule: ribosomal RNA, 1531 nt
Filed under: Shigella sonnei
Lineage: Bacteria; Pseudomonadati; Pseudomonadota; Gammaproteobacteria; Enterobacterales; Enterobacteriaceae
Description: partial 23S ribosomal RNA
Rfam family: Bacterial large subunit ribosomal RNA
Source: RNAcentral